This is a non-coding RNA of Momordica charantia (bitter melon), 3571 nucleotides long. The record is from RefSeq and is a predicted model, not a curated record. Lineage: Eukaryota; Viridiplantae; Streptophyta; Magnoliopsida; Cucurbitales; Cucurbitaceae.
UAUAUGUAGAGAAGUUCAUAAAAGGAAGUGUCUAUGUGGAGUUUUGGUGUAAGAGAGAAUGCAUGUGUAUAGUAUGGAGAGCAUUAAUAGUGUCAGAAAUUGAUGUAUUAUAGAAUUUAAUCCUUAAAUUUGUUGCAAAAUUGUAAGUUGAAUUUGCAGUAAAAGUGGAAAAAUAAGGUCAAAGUAUGUUCCAUUUUAAGGACCCAUGUUUGGCACGCACGCGGUAUAUUUGUCCUGAAGGGCCCAAAAUCUUGUCCACUUUACCGGCAAGUCCGCCGCCACGACAGCACGUAGCGUACCGACAAGUUAAUCGCCGACUCCAAUCUCCAAAACCCCCACUCUAAAACCAUCCUAAACAAUCUCUCCGUCUUCUUCUACUGCACAUUUGUCUCUCAUUCCUUCUUCUCUUGCAGUCACAAAAGUGACCUUUUUCCAGCUCAUGGCCUUUUUUGUUAUCGACUCUUUUGAUUUGUGAACAGAAGGAUUCCAUCAAGCUCUCUCGAUCCAAUGUAUUGACCUCUGUUCCAAACUCAGAGUAAAGUGAACUACUUGUAAGUUUGUAACUUGCUUGUUCCCUCCCAGAUACUAUCUCCCUUACAAACUCCGCCUACACCUCUGUCCUAUAAUGUCUAUUAAAUCAGAGGUAUUUUCAGAUUUUAAUGCUUGAAUUACUUCCCUUGCCCGAAGAAGCAAAAUCCGUAACACUGACCUGUCUUUCGCCAGUAAUGCUUACUUUUACUCGAAGUCCCCACCGUUUCGCUCCAAACCCACCUGUCUUUGUACUCGUGUGUUAAAUCCAUCGUUUGAGCUGCUUCCGGGGCCUUUCUGUAUCACAACCAUGACUCCUAAUCACAGUACAAUGGCUAAGAGCAAUCCUCCGCCAGAAAACACAAUGACCCACUUACAGUUUUUUAGGAAAUUCAAGCGUUUGAACCCUCUCGAGCCCUCCCUUGCAAUUCUUGGUUUCUUUUUCGUCACUAUUUUGUUCAUUUGCGGCAUCUUUUACUUUGAUUACCGGUCCAUUGCCAGUGGGCUUCGUAAUAGUGGGACUGCUUGGCUUGGUUUGCGUAUUUCUUCUUCAUCGUCAAUGGUGGGGGAUGCACUGCCAGGAUUCCUUGAUGAAGGAGGGGAUGGUUGUGAUGUUUUCGAUGGGACUUGGGUUUGGGAUGACAGCUACCCUCUGUACCAAUCCCAAACUUGUUCAUUUUUGGACGAAGGUUUCAGGUGUAAUGAAAAAGGAAGGCUUGAUGUCUUCUAUACCAAGUGGCGUUGGCAACCUAAAAACUGCAACUUGCCCAGGUUUGAUGCGAGCAAGAUGUUAGACAAGUUACGUAACCAGCGACUUAUAUUUGUUGGUGAUUCAAUUGGGAGGAAUCAAUGGGAGUCCAUGCUCUGCAUGCUCUCCUCUGCUAUUUCCAACAAAAGUUUAGUUUAUGAGGUGAAUGGGAACCCAAUAACAAAGCACUCAGGGUCCUUGGUAUUCAAGUUUGAGGACUUCAACUGCACUGUUGAGUACUACAGGUCACCCUUUCUUGUUGUUCAGGGACAUCCUCCAGUAGAUGCUCCAAAAGAAGUGAAGAUGACUUUAAAAGUGGAUCAAAUUGACUGGAUUUCUUACCAGUGGAGAGAUGCAGAUAUCUUGAUUCUCAAUGCUGGACAUUGGUGGAACUAUGAGAAGACAAUACGAGAGGGCUGUUACUUUCAAGAAGGGGAAGAGGUGAAGAUGAAUAUGAGCAUUGGUAACGCUUUCAGAAAAUCAAUUCAGACUGUAAUUGAUUGGAUAGGCAAAGAAGUGAACUCAAACAAGACUUACGUCCUUUUCCGAACCUAUUCUCCUGUUCAUUUCAGAGGCGGUAAUUGGAAUGCUGGUGGUGGUUGUCACUUAGAAACGCUCCCUGAUUUGGGGUCAUUACUUGAUUAUCAGGGAACUCACUUUAAAACGGUUAUAGAAGUGUUAUCAGAGCGGUCAAACAAGUCACAAAUGGUGAAAUUGGAUUUGUUGAAUGUGACUACCAUGACAUUAAGUAGAAAAGAUGGUCAUCCUUCGGUGUAUUACCUUGGGGGAAAGACUAGCCCCGCUUUUCUCCACCAUCAAGACUGCAGUCACUGGUGUCUUCCUGGAGUUCCUGAUUCUUGGAAUGAGCUUGUUUAUGCUCUUCUCAUGAAGCGAGACAUCGUUCGUCCUCAAGUUCCAACGAAACCUUGAGUGACAUUAAUGCAGGAUUUUGGAUAUUGGUUCCUUGGUUGUCAACCAAACUCAGUAUGACAACCUAACUUCACAUUCGGAAAGCAUGGCUUGAGCAUUUUCAAUUACCAAGCAAAGAAUAUUUCUUCCUUGGGUGAAAUUUACUAGUGUUCACAACUUCACAUGCUGGUAUUUGCUGCAAUUUGCCAAGCAUUAUUCAGGCGAACCACAAGUUGCUGGCGGCAUGACAUCAAACUAGGAUCACACCCUUGGUUGCUGGAUAUAGGCUGCUGAGGCACUUGUUUUCCCAAGGGGUCAGAAAUCGAAUUGAAGAACCUCUGGGGUGGUCCAUCCUCUGGGAGAAAAAGGAAGGACUGAGCUCUGUCAGUAAAGCCCUUCUUCCUGUCUUUGCAUACCCAUUUGGGCAUAGUGUUCAGAGAAGAAUAAAUAAGAUUGUCAAUAGAUUUAUUGAAUAACAAUUUUUCAGCGAAGCAAUGAGGAAAGCACCAAUCAGGUGUCCUGAUAUCUUCAUUUAAAGUUGAAAAAGAAAAAGUGAAAAACACGAUCCCGAAUCCCGACCAGAUAAGACAAAGAGACACAACUUGCAAGGAAGUGAAACGAGUGCAAUUCAAAGAGAAAAGAUAGGAUUGAGCACGCACACACUAGUUGGAUGGGAUCCAUUGAAUAGAAGAGAACGCAUAUGUUUGGAUGGUUUGAAACUGAAGAGUCUUCGUUUAAUCAUCAAAUGGGUAUUGCUCGUACCUAAUUGCACAGUCAUUGAGCACCGCACGACCCCCAAUUCUCAUUUGACACGUUCCCAACAUGUUGCUCUUAGCAGCGCCAAGACAAGUGGUGCAGUCUGAGGUUGUCAGAUUUUGGUUACAGGAAACAUGACCGUAAGCGAAGGCAUUAGGGUAAGGAGAUAUGUUGUAGAAAUCAUAUUUCUUGCUGCUGGGAGUUGAAUUCCCCAACUCUUCCAGAACAUAACUCAGACUCACUGCAAAAGGAUCGCCCCCCGUGAAUAUUCCAGAGUUGCACAAAACAGACUUCACUCCAGUGUUUGGAACGCACACCACCAUAGUGGACAAACCAAAGAAAGCGAGAAAAGCCGCUGAGAUCUUCAGACUAGAAUCAUCCAUCUCUUCUUCUUCCUUGAGUUUUGAUCUGGUUUCAGAAUGGACGACCUUUGAAGUUGAAACAUAAGUGGGUCCAAUCUAUUUUCUUGGUUUUUUCCCAUUCUCUGUGAAUAGUCUUUCUUUUAAAAAAAAACAUAUAUUGUCUGGAUAUGUUUAUCUCUUUCUCUGGUUUUGACUUGUUCUCCCUCCAUUUGUCAUUUUCAUAAUGUCUCAGUUUUUCGAAGGAGAAACCAAUGAGUUCUAUUCACAA